Molecule: ribosomal RNA, 530 nt
Filed under: uncultured bacterium
Lineage: Bacteria
Description: bacterial SSU rRNA
Rfam family: Bacterial small subunit ribosomal RNA
Source: RNAcentral
GUGGGGAAUAUUGCGCAAUGGGCGGAAGCCUGACGCAGCGACGCCGCGUGAGGGAUGAAGGCCUUCGGGUUGUAAACCUCUUUCAGCAGGGACGAAGCGGAAGUGACGGUACCUGCAGAAGAAGCACCGGCCAACUACGUGCCAGCAGCCGCGGUAAUACGUAGGGUGCAAGCGUUGUCCGGAAUUAUUGGGCGUAAAGAGCUCGUAGGCGGUCUGUCGCGUCGGCUGUGAAAACUCGGGGCUCAACUCCGAGCCUGCAGUCGAUACGGGCAGACUUGAGUGCUGUAGGGGAGACUGGAAUUCCUGGUGUAGCGGUGAAAUGCGCAGAUAUCAGGAGGAACACCGGUGGCGAAGGCGGGUCUCUGGGCAGUGACUGACGCUGAGGAGCGAAAGCGUGGGGAGCGAACAGGAUUAGAUACCCUGGUAGUCCACGCCGUAAACGGUGGGUGCUAGGUGUAGGCGGUAUUCCACGCCGUCUGUGCCGCAGCUAACGCAUUAAGCACCCCGCCUGGGGAGUACGGCCGCAAGGC